AGUGAACGCUGGCGGUAGGCCUAACACAUGCAAGUCGAACGGCAGCACAGUAAGAGCUUGCUCUUACGGGUGGCGAGUGGCGGACGGGUGAGGAAUACAUCGGAAUCUACUUUUUCGUGGGGGAUAACGUAGGGAAACUUACGCUAAUACCGCAUACGACCUACGGGUGAAAGCAGGGGAUCUUCGGACCUUGCGCGAUUGAAUGAGCCGCUGUCGGAUUAGCUAGUUGGCGGGGUAAAGGCCCACCAAGGCGACGAUCCGUAGCUGGUCUGAGGGGAUGAUCAGCCACACUGGAACGGAGACACGGACCAGACUCCUACGGGAGGCAGCAGUGGGGAAUAUUGGACAAUGGGCGCAAGCCUGAUCCAGCCAUACCGCGUGGGUGAAGAAGGCCUUCGGGUUGUAAAGCCCUUUUGUUGGGAAAGAAAAGCAGCAGGUUAAUACCCCGCUGUUCUGACGGUACCCAAAGAAUAAGCACCGGCUAACUUCGUG
This 492-nucleotide ribosomal RNA is filed under the name uncultured bacterium. RNAcentral describes it as "partial 16S ribosomal RNA". It matches the Rfam family "Bacterial small subunit ribosomal RNA", at positions 29 to 507 of the family's 1533-position model. The record is from RNAcentral.